UAUCUCUGUAGAGUCUGCAUAUCAAUAAGCGGAGGAAAAGAAACUAACAAGGAUUCCCUUAGUAACGGCGAGUGAAGCGGGAAGAGCUCAAAUUUGAAAUCUUCAAGGUUCUACCUUGACGAAUUGUAGUUUAAAGAAGUGUUUUCUGUUAGAUGAGUAGCAAAAGUUCCUUGGAAUGGGACAUCAUAGAGGGUGAGAAUCCCGUAUUUGGUUAUUCAUUCUAGCUUUGUGAUACACUUUCAAAGAGUCGGAUUGUUUGGGAAUGCAGUCCAAAAUGGGUGGUAAAUUUCAUCUAAAGCUAAAUAUUGGCUGAGAGACCGAUAGCGAACAAGUACCGUGAGGGAAAGAUGAAAAGAACUUUGAAAAGAGAGUUAAACAGUACGUGAAAUUGUCAAAAGGGAAGCGUUUGACACCAGUGUUGUUUUUUCCGAAAAUCAAUUACGAAUGGCUUGAUUUUGUGUUGUAUUGACCUUAUCAGCUUUCUUCACUUUUUUCGAGUCUUUCUUAAUGCACUUUUCGGUUAACAAGUCAACAUCAAUUUCUUUUGUUGUAAAAGAGUAUUCGGAAGGUGGCUUUCUUUUCGGAGAAAGUGUUUAUAGCCCUAUACUUCUACAAUCGGAGAGAUUGAGGUCUGCAGCGUAGAUCCUUCGGGGUUAGAUACACUUGUGCUAAGUCGUAGCUUUUCAUAGACAACUUGUUGACUAUGUUUAGUCAUGCGGCUUACUCGCUUGUGCUAUUUUACCUACGCUUAGGAUGUUGACUGAUAUGUAGUCGUA
This 776-nucleotide ribosomal RNA is filed under the name uncultured Neocallimastigales. RNAcentral describes it as "partial large subunit ribosomal RNA". It matches the Rfam family "Eukaryotic large subunit ribosomal RNA", at positions 24 to 644 of the family's 3401-position model. Lineage: Eukaryota; Fungi; Neocallimastigomycota; Neocallimastigomycetes; Neocallimastigales. The record is from RNAcentral.